GUUUGUAAUCCAAGUGAGAAUAUAUACAUUUUAAGACCUAACCAGGAACGACUGCAAAAAAUGCAGCACAAGGUCCUCUGGUAGGAAUCGAACCUACGGCCCUGCGAUUCCGAAGCAGUGCUCUAACCAACUGAGCUACAGAGGCCAACUGUUGAGCUGCAACCGUAAAUUCAUGUAUAUAUAGGUAAUCGGGUGUGCGGGUUGUGAUAAGGUGGACUUGAAUAACUUAGUACUUGCACUUAACUUGGUGGAAUAAAUAUUAGGAUGUUAGGGUUUGUAAUCCAAGUGAGAAUAUAUAC
Molecule: non-coding RNA, 299 nt
Organism: Paramuricea clavata
Lineage: Eukaryota; Metazoa; Cnidaria; Anthozoa; Malacalcyonacea; Plexauridae
Source: the annotation of a GenBank genome assembly